AUUGAACGCUGGCGGCAGGCUUAACGCAUGCAAGUCGAGCGGGGUGAUGGUGCUUGCACUAUCACUUAGCGGCGGACGGGUGAGUAAUGCUUAGGAAUCUGCCUAUUAGUGGGGGACAACAUCUCGAAAGGGAUGCUAAUACCGCAUACGUCCUACGGGAGAAAGCAGGGGAUCACUUGUGACCUUGCGCUAAUAGAUGAGCCUAAGUCGGAUGAGCUAGUUGGUGGGGUAAAGGCCUACCAAGGCGACGAUCUGUAGCGGGUCUGAGAGGAUGAUCCGCCACACUGGGACUGAGACACGGCCCAGACUCCUACGGGAGGCAGCAGUGGGGAAUAUUGGACAAUGGGGGGAACCCUGAUCCAGCCAUGCCGCGUGUGUGAAGAAGGCCUUAUGGUUGUAAAGCACUUUAAGCGAGGAGGAGGCUCUUUUGGUUAAUACCCAAGAUGAGUGGACGUUACUCGCAGAAUAAGCACCGGCUAACUCUGUGCCAGCCGCCGCUGUAA
This 503-nucleotide ribosomal RNA is filed under the name uncultured bacterium. RNAcentral describes it as "partial 16S ribosomal RNA". It matches the Rfam family "Bacterial small subunit ribosomal RNA", at positions 30 to 523 of the family's 1533-position model. The record is from RNAcentral.